AGUGGCGCACGGGUGCGUAACGCGUGGGAAUCUACCCUUGGGUGCGGAAUAACAGUUAGAAAUGACUGCUAAUACCGCAUAAUGUCUUCGGACCAAAGAUUUAUCGCCCUUGGAUGAGCCCGCGUUGGAUUAGCUAGUUGGUGGGGUAAAGGCCUACCAAGGCAACGAUCUAUAGCUGGUCUGAGAGGAUGAUCAGCCACACUGGGACUGAGACACGGCCCAG
RNAcentral lists this ribosomal RNA (223 nucleotides) under uncultured bacterium. RNAcentral's name for it is "partial 16S ribosomal RNA". It matches the Rfam family "Bacterial small subunit ribosomal RNA", at positions 94 to 334 of the family's 1533-position model. The record is from RNAcentral.